Long non-coding RNA from Leopardus geoffroyi (Geoffroy's cat), 599 nucleotides. RefSeq lists it as uncharacterized. The transcript is spliced from 2 exons. NCBI's taxonomy places the organism in Eukaryota, Metazoa, Chordata, Mammalia, Carnivora, Felidae. The record is from RefSeq and is a predicted model, not a curated record.
UUUCAGGCAAAGAAUCACCCAAAGAAACAAUUUAGAGGCAAAUGGAGAAUCUUUUCCACAAGUAAUUAAUACCUUUAAAAGCAUGUUUGAAAUAAUUAGUGGAUGAAAUGAUCAGAGCGGAAAACACAUUUUUAUGAAAGAACAAAUUUACAGGUGAAUGUGACCAAUGAAAAUAUUUGAAGUUAAACAAUGAAGAUCAAGUGAUUGAUGCUCUUUUUUGGUGAACAGUUUGGAGUUCUGCUGACUGGUUAAAAGGAAUGGCCAUCUACCCCAACUAGUGAGGGAGCGUGUUUUAAUCCACUAAUGUUGCAUAUUGAUCUUGGAAGAUUUGCAAUGUGAUACGUGCAAUAGAUAUUUUUGCAGCUGGUACCAAGUGUAUCCAGUACUAAUAUUUAUUUUAUUAUUCAUUACAUUCUUGUACUUUCCAAUUUUUAGGCAUAAAAUUUGAUAUUUACCCUUGAAAUACUGAAAAAAAAAUCAAUUUUCCUACCCUUUGGAAGUCUAGGAGAACGCUUUCUCUUUUGGUUGCAGUGUGCAUUGGUUUCCUAUUGCUGUUGUAACAAAUUACAGCAAAUAAACCAUGUAAAUUGAUUAUCUUA